RNAcentral lists this ribosomal RNA (497 nucleotides) under uncultured bacterium. RNAcentral describes it as "partial 16S ribosomal RNA". It matches the Rfam family "Bacterial small subunit ribosomal RNA", at positions 28 to 507 of the family's 1533-position model. The record is from RNAcentral.
GAUGAACGCUGGCGGCGUGCCUAAUACAUGCAAGUCGAGCGAACGGACGAGAAGAUUGCUUCUCUGAUGUUAGCGGCGGACGGGUGAGUAACACGUGGAUAACCUACCUAUAAGACUGGGAUAACUUCGGGAAACCGGAGCUAAUACCGGAUAAUAUUUUGAACCGCAUGGUUCAAAAGUGAAAGACGGUCUUGCUGUCACUUAUAGAUGGAUCCGCGCUGCAUUAGCUAGUUGGUAAGGUAACGGCUUACCAAGGCAACGAUGCAUAGCCGACCUGAGAGGGUGAUCGGCCACACUGGAACUGAGACACGGUCCAGACUCCUACGGGAGGCAGCAGUAGGGAAUCUUCCGCAAAGGGCGAAAGCCUGACGGAGCAACGCCGCGUGAGUGAUGAAGGUCUUCGGAUCGUAAAACUCUGUUAUUAGGGAAGAACAUAUGUGUAAGUAACUGUGCACAUCUUGACGGUACCUAAUCAGAAAGCCACGGCUAACUACGUG